UGUCCAGCAAAUCCUAUCCCUACCUCCUCGUGGUACUGGCCGGCGUACGAGUAACCUUAGGGAAGAUCGGGUAACCAACCCCGGUAGAAACAUUGGUCGUAUGCUGACAGGGAAGA
Molecule: ribozyme, 116 nt
Filed under: Aedes aegypti (yellow fever mosquito)
Lineage: Eukaryota; Metazoa; Arthropoda; Insecta; Diptera; Culicidae
Description: drz-agam-1 ribozyme
Rfam family: drz-agam-1 ribozyme
Source: Rfam by way of RNAcentral